AGAGUGAACGCUGGCGGCAGGCCUAACACAUGCAAGUCGAGCGGCAGCGCGGGGCAACCUGGCGGCGGGCGGCGGACGGGUGAGGAAUGCAUCGGAAUCUACCCUGUCGUGGGGGAUAACGUAGGGAAACUUACGCUAAUACCGCAUACGACCGAGAGGUGAAAGUGGGGGACCGCAAGGCCUCACGCGAUUGGAUGAGCCGAUGCCGGAUUAGCUAGUUGGUGGGGUAAAGGCCCACAAGGCGACGAUCCGUAGCUGGUCUGAGAGGAUGAUCAGCCACAUUGGGACUGAGACACGGCCCAAACUCCUACGGGAGGCAGCAGUGGGAAUAUGGACAAUGGGCGCAAGCCUGAUCCGAGCCAUCGCCGCGUGUGUGAAGAAGG
This 383-nucleotide ribosomal RNA is filed under the name uncultured soil bacterium. RNAcentral describes it as "bacterial SSU rRNA". It matches the Rfam family "Bacterial small subunit ribosomal RNA", at positions 26 to 414 of the family's 1533-position model. The record is from RNAcentral.